RNAcentral lists this ribosomal RNA (253 nucleotides) under uncultured bacterium. RNAcentral describes it as "partial 16S ribosomal RNA". It matches the Rfam family "Bacterial small subunit ribosomal RNA", at positions 524 to 776 of the family's 1533-position model. The record is from RNAcentral.
UACGUAGGGUGCGAGCGUUGUCCGGAAUUACUGGGCGUAAAGAGCUCGUAGGUGGUUUGUCGCGUUGUCCGUGAAAACUCACAACUCAAUUGUGGGCGUGCGGGCGAUACGGGCAGACUGGAGUACUGCAGGGGAGACUGGAAUUCCUGGUGUAGCGGUGGAAUGCGCAGAUAUCAGGAGGAACACCGGUGGCGAAGGCGGGUCUCUGGGCAGUAACUGACGCUGGGGAGCGAAAGCGUGGGGAGCGAACAGG